Molecule: ribosomal RNA, 253 nt
Filed under: uncultured bacterium
Lineage: Bacteria
Description: partial 16S ribosomal RNA
Rfam family: Bacterial small subunit ribosomal RNA
Source: RNAcentral
GACAGAGGGUGCAAACGUUGUUCGGAAUUACUGGGCGUAAAGCGCACGUAGGCGGAUUUGUAAGUCAGAGGUGAAAUCCCGGGGCUCAACCUCGGAACUGCCUUUGAUACUGCAAAUCUCGAGUCCGGAAGAGGUGAGUGGAAUUCCUAGUGUAGAGGUGAAAUUCGUAGAUAUUCGGCGGAACACCAGUGGCGAAGGCGACUCACUGGCCCGAUACUGACGCUGAGGCGCGAAAGCGUGGGGAGCAAACAGG